AAGGAAUGAGGGGGCCGCCAANGGGGAGAUGGGUUAUUUGACGCACGNGAAAACCNUACCUGGCUUGACAACCGAUNGCACCUUUUGGAAACANNGGGUCAGCUCGGCUGGAUNGGAUACAGGUGNUGCAUGGCUGUCGUCAGCUCGGUCGUAGAUGUUGGGUUAAGUCCCGCAACGAGCGCAACCCCUACUGUUAGUUGCCAUCAUUUAGUUGGGCACUCUAACGGAACUGUCGGUGUCAAACCGGAGGAAGGUGGGGAUGACGUCAAGUCCUCAUGGCCCUUAUGCCCAGGGCUACACACGUACUACAAUGGCCAGUACAAAGGGCAGCGAACUCGCAAGGGUAAGCGAAUCCCAAAAAGCUGGUCCCAGUUCGGAUUGGAGUCUGCAACUCGACUCCAUGAAGUUGGAAUCGCUAGUAAUCGCGAAUCAGCAUGUCGCGGUGAAUACGUUCUCGGGCCUUGUACACACCGCCCGUCACACCACGAAAGUCAGCUAUACUAGAUGUCGUUGAGCUAAUUCAUUUCGAGAAAGGCAGACGCCGACGGUGUAACGGUAAGGGGG
This 564-nucleotide ribosomal RNA is filed under the name uncultured bacterium. Its description in RNAcentral is "bacterial SSU rRNA". It matches the Rfam family "Bacterial small subunit ribosomal RNA", at positions 903 to 1479 of the family's 1533-position model. The record is from RNAcentral.